RNAcentral lists this transfer RNA (83 nucleotides) under Ackermannviridae sp. RNAcentral's name for it is "tRNA-Leu". It matches the Rfam family "tRNA". Rfam says of the family: Transfer RNA (tRNA) molecules are approximately 80 nucleotides in length. Their secondary structure includes four short double-helical elements and three loops (D, anti-codon, and T loops). The record is from RNAcentral. Lineage: Duplodnaviria; Heunggongvirae; Uroviricota; Caudoviricetes; Pantevenvirales; Ackermannviridae.
GGGAAUAUGCUGUAAUUGGUAGCCAGGCCAGAUUUAGGAUCUGGUGCUUCAAUAGCGUGUGGGUUCGAGUCCCACUAUUCCCA